GACGAACGCUGGCGGCGUGCUUAACACAUGCAAGUCGAACGGUGAAGCGCCUUCCUUUUUGGUGGGUGUGGAUGAGUGGCGAACGGGUGAGUAACACGUGAGUAACCUGCCCCCUUCUUCUGGAUAACCGCAUGAAAGUGUGGCUAAUACGGGAUAUUCUGGGUCUGUCGCAUGAUGGGUCUGGGAAAGAUAUUGUUUCGGUGGGGGAUGGGCUCGCGGCCUAUCAGCUUGUUGGUGGGGUGAUGGCCUACCAAGGCGGUGACGGGUAGCCGGCCUGAGAGGGUGGACGGUCACACUGGGACGGAGACACGGCCCAGACUCCUACGGGAGGCAGCGGUGGGGAAUAUUGCACAAUGGGCGCAAGCCUGAUGCAGCGACGCCGCGUGAGGGAUGGAGGCCUGCGGGUUGUGAACCUCUUUCGCCAGUGAAGCAGGCCUGCCUCGUUUGUGGGUGGGUUGACGGUAGCUGGAGAAGAAGCGCCGGCUAACUACGUG
This 494-nucleotide ribosomal RNA is filed under the name uncultured bacterium. RNAcentral's name for it is "partial 16S ribosomal RNA". It matches the Rfam family "Bacterial small subunit ribosomal RNA", at positions 28 to 507 of the family's 1533-position model. The record is from RNAcentral.